This 562-nucleotide ribosomal RNA is filed under the name uncultured bacterium. RNAcentral's name for it is "bacterial SSU rRNA". It matches the Rfam family "Bacterial small subunit ribosomal RNA", at positions 338 to 916 of the family's 1533-position model. The record is from RNAcentral.
CCUACGGGAGGCAGCAGUGGGGAAUAUUGGACAAUGGGCGAAAGCCUGAUCCAGCAAUGCCGCGUGAGUGAUGAAGGCCUUAGGGUUGUAAAGCUCUUUUACCCGGGAAGAUAAUGACUGUACCGGGAGAAUAAGCCCCGGCUAACUCCGUGCCAGCAGCCGCGGUAAUACGGAGGGGGCUAGCGUUAUUCGGAAUUACUGGGCGUAAAGCGUACGUAGGCGGUGGUUCAAGUCAGAGGUGAAAGCCCGGAGCUCAACUCCGGAACUGCCUUUGAAACUAGAUCGCUAGAACAUCGGAGAGGUAAGUGGAAUUCCGAGUGUAGAGGUGAAAUUCGUAGAUAUUCGGAAGAACACCAGUGGCGAAGGCGGCUUACUGGACGAUUGUUGACGCUGAGGUACGAAAGCGUGGGGAGCAAACAGGAUUAGAUACCCUGGUAGUCCACGCCGUAAACGAUGAUAACUAGCUGUUGGGCCUCAUAGAGGCUCAGUGGCGCAGCUAACGCAUUAAGUUAUCCGCCUGGGGAGUACGGUCGCAAGAUUAAAACUCAAAAUGAAUUGACGG